CCGCCAGCCUCAGCCUCCCAAAGUGCUGGGAUUACAGGCAUGAGCCACUGUGCCCGGCCACUUGUUUGGAUCUUAAACCAGAAUUCCCUCUUCUGUUCUCCUGGGAUCACGUGAUGUGGAUGCCCCGGUGCAGUUUCCACCGAGACUCCCUGAUGACCACAGCCAGCAAGCUCAGCUUCCGUGGAAAUGAGCAGAUGGUCGUGUGUCUGGCCUGUGAGUCAGUCUCUCCCCUGAAGCCCGGCCCAGGACGCGGCCCUGAUGACGGGUUUUGUGUGGAUUUUCCCCUCUGCGUGAGACUUUUCCUCUCCAGCUCAUAAGAAGUAUUUUGGACAGUGACCUAAAUAAUUUCUCCGACAGAAGAAGCAUGAUCUGAUCAACUGUGAUUGACCAAGCGUGGACUCAUAACCCUGCUUCCGAAAGCAUUGAUCGUCGGUACGAUGUCUACAUUUGUGUGAGAUCAGACUCUGCCUUCUAUAACCACGCAGUCAACACUCAGAAAGGAUGGCACGACCAUCCUCUGGGCGCGGCUGGUGGAGAUGAUGAAACCAGUUUUUAAAUGGUGAUUUAUUUUAAAGGCAAGUGUUCUCCAGCAGCAAAUUAGCAGAGAGAAGCCCAUUCCUCCUAUUUCCAAAAGAAAGAGAUUUUGAGGGAGAUCUUAGCUCACCUGAGGGGUUUGGAUCAGAAAAAUUCUGUGGCUUAUAAAGUCGUUUGUUAUUUUGCUGUGAUUUUAUACACAAUGGAAGGGUGAGGAAAAGGUCAGCAAUAACUCUGCGGCUGCAUUUUAGCUUGAAAAAAUGUAAUAUUGAUCGAUAGGAAAAUGGAAAAAGCGCAACUAUUAGCGCCUUACUUGAUCUUCUCCGACCUUUACCCCUCCGCGCUGGUUUUAUUCUUAAAUGUUAUGCCUCCUGUUCAAAGGUUUGUCCUGCUUAGUCUUUUAUUUAAUUAAUCCAUGAUCUUCCUCACUCUCUCUAAUGUCGAGACAAGACCGGCUCCUGAUUUCCCUGCUGUGCUCCCGAGUCUGGGUCACACGCAACUUGGAGCCCCGAAAGAGCUGCGGUCUGCGGGCAUUAACCCUCCAUCUUCCUGCGCAUUGCUGGAGGGAACGGCUGCUCCGCCCAGAUGGCUGUGCUGGUGGCGGCUCCGGCUGUGCUGGUGGCGGCUCCCUGAGCCCUGCCCCCUGCAGCGUCCCACGUGAAGCCCCGGGGAGCUGGAGCUGCCUCCUCUGCGGGGAAGAUGGCUCCUCACCGCCUGGCGGGGCCCUGACACCACAGACCCAGGCCCUGGUGCCAACUCCUGCUGCUCAGGGACUGAACAUGGCCCAGACGGUCCUGGGUGAGGCAUGGCACGAGGGAGUGCCAGGGGCGCCCCACGUCUAGCAGACACUGUCGCUCUGUGGCAGAGUCCCGGCCCCAUGUUCACCCCAGCCCUGCUGAGGCCUUCAGGACGGGGGCAGAGACCAGAGCCCCAAGACCUGAAGACGGAUUGAGUUGAGGGCAUCAGAGGCUCGCCAGGCCUUGGGACGAGUGUGUCGGCACCUGCUCUGGGUUGAUAGUGUCCCCAGAAUUUACAUCCACCUAGGACCUGUAUUGUGGCCUCACUUGGCAACGUGGCUGUUUCCCAUGUAAUCAAGGUAACACCAAGACUAUGAGAAGGGCGGAUGUGGCUUCUUCUUUA
Molecule: non-coding RNA, 1674 nt
Organism: Macaca mulatta (Rhesus monkey)
Lineage: Eukaryota; Metazoa; Chordata; Mammalia; Primates; Cercopithecidae
Source: RefSeq, a predicted model, not a curated record